CGUAGGAGGCGAGCGUUAUCCGGAGUUACUGGGCGUAAAGCGCGUGUAGGUGGUUGGAUACGUCUGCUGUGAAAUGUCCCGGCUUAACCGGGAGGGUGCGGCAGAUACGGUCUGACUAGAGGGCGACAGAGGAGCGUAGAAUUCCGGGUGUAGUGGUGAAAUGCGUAGAGAUCCGGAGGAAUACCAGUGGCGCAAGCGGCGCUCUGGGUCGCAACUGACACUGAGACGCGAAGGCAUGGGGAGCGAACGGGAUUAGAAACCCCGGUAGUCCAUGCAGUAAACGAUGCAGACUGGGUGUGGGGUACGCAAGUAUUCUGUGCCGAAGCAAACGCGCUAAGUCUGCCGCCUGGGAAGUACGGUCGCAAGACUA
RNAcentral lists this ribosomal RNA (370 nucleotides) under uncultured organism. Its description in RNAcentral is "bacterial SSU rRNA". It matches the Rfam family "Bacterial small subunit ribosomal RNA", at positions 526 to 896 of the family's 1533-position model. The record is from RNAcentral.